This 458-nucleotide ribosomal RNA is filed under the name Escherichia coli. RNAcentral's name for it is "partial 23S ribosomal RNA". It matches the Rfam family "Bacterial large subunit ribosomal RNA", at positions 735 to 1191 of the family's 2925-position model. The record is from RNAcentral. Lineage: Bacteria; Pseudomonadati; Pseudomonadota; Gammaproteobacteria; Enterobacterales; Enterobacteriaceae.
CAUGGGCAGGUUGAAGGUUGGGUAACACUAACUGGAGGACCGAACCGACUAAUGUUGAAAAAUUAGCGGAUGACUUGUGGCUGGGGGUGAAAGGCCAAUCAAACCGGGAGAUAGCUGGUUCUCCCCGAAAGCUAUUUAGGUAGCGCCUCGUGAAUUCAUCUCCGGGGGUAGAGCACUGUUUCGGCAAGGGGGUCAUCCCGACUUACCAACCCGAUGCAAACUGCGAAUACCGGAGAAUGUUAUCACGGGAGACACACGGCGGGUGCUAACGUCCGUCGUGAAGAGGGAAACAACCCAGACCGCCAGCUAAGGUCCCAAAGUCAUGGUUAAGUGGGAAACGAUGUGGGAAGGCCCAGACAGCCAGGAUGUUGGCUUAGAAGCAGCCAUCAUUUAAAGAAAGCGUAAUAGCUCACUGGUCGAGUCGGCCUGCGCGGAAGAUGUAACGGGGCUAAACCAUG